This 396-nucleotide unclassified non-coding RNA is filed under the name Basidiomycota sp. RNAcentral's name for it is "partial contains small subunit ribosomal RNA, internal transcribed spacer 1, and 5.8S ribosomal RNA". The stretch from base 1 to 47 matches the Rfam family "Eukaryotic small subunit ribosomal RNA", at positions 1785 to 1831 of the family's 1831-position model. The record is from RNAcentral. Lineage: Eukaryota; Fungi; Basidiomycota.
AAAGUCGUAACAAGGUAUCCGUAGGUGAACCUGCGGAUGGAUCAUUAACACUUUCCAAAACACAACUGAGUUCUACAACGUCAUUGUUGUUAGACACUUGGUUUUCAAACCCAAAUAGCGAACUUGUCAACGGCAUAGCAUGUGUGUGUUGUUUUCAAAUAAUUUGAAAACGCCAAGUCAAGUUAUGUCCGUUCGUUUUCUCCUUGUCAAUUUUACUUUUAUCAUUCAACACUCUUUUUUUCUCUUCCUUCAUUGGGAUUGAAAAAAGCAGCGUCAAACGAAAUAACUUGACUAAGAAGAAAAAGACCCACGUUUAAUUGACUUUGCUUGAUUAAAUGAGGGGAAAAAGAUAAUAAACAAAAAAUACAACUUUUAACAACGGAUAUCUUGGCUCUC